GGCCUCGUGAUGUAGCGGUUAUCACGUCUGCCUUACACGCAGGAGGUCGCCGGUUCGAUCCCGGCCGAGAUCA
Molecule: non-coding RNA, 73 nt
Organism: Ascaris suum (pig roundworm)
Lineage: Eukaryota; Metazoa; Nematoda; Chromadorea; Rhabditida; Ascarididae
Source: Rfam